This 406-nucleotide ribosomal RNA is filed under the name uncultured bacterium. RNAcentral's name for it is "partial 16S ribosomal RNA". It matches the Rfam family "Bacterial small subunit ribosomal RNA", at positions 30 to 526 of the family's 1533-position model. The record is from RNAcentral.
AUUGAACGCUGGCGGCAGGCCUAACACAUGCAAGUCGAACGAGUGGCGGACGGGUGAGUAAUGUCUGGGAAACUGCCCGAUGGAGGGGGAUAACUAAUGGAAACGGUAGAUAAUACCGCAUACCAUCGGAUGUGCCCAGAUGGGAUUAGCUAGUAGGUGGGGUAACGGAUAACCUAGGCGACGAUCCCUAGCUGGUCUGAGAGGGUGACCAGCCACACUGGAACUGAGACACGGUCCAGACUCCUACGGGAGGCAGCAGUGGGGAAUAUUGCACAAUGGGCGCAAGCCUGAUGCAGCCAUGCCGCGUGGAUGAAGAAGGCCUUCGGGUUGUAAAGUACUGUCAUCUGGGAGGCGUUACUCGCAGAAGAAGCACCGGCUAACUCCGUGCCAGCAGCCGCGGUAAUUC